GCCAUUUAGAAGUUAAAUCCCUUUGUUUAUGAACCCUAGUCACACCUCCCUGCAUGUGACUUGCACAGCCUUCCAUAAACACUUCCUGUAAAGAGAGCCCUAUUUAGGCUUUCUUUAUUGCUAGUUCUGUUUAAUUAAGAUUUUCUUAUCCCCUGCUAUGUUAAUAGCUUGCUAGACCCUGCAAGAGCCUCCUGUAUGUGAUUAAAG
Molecule: long non-coding RNA, 207 nt
Filed under: Pelobates cultripes (western spadefoot toad)
Lineage: Eukaryota; Metazoa; Chordata; Amphibia; Anura; Pelobatidae
Source: RNAcentral